CUGCAAUUUGACAUACCAGGUAUCAAGCAGAAAUGUACUUGAAAAAUAUAAAAUAAUUUUGGUGCCCAUCAAUAUUACAAAAUUACAGUAUCAAAUUUAUGCUUAUAUAUUAUGUUAACUAAUAGCAAAGAAAAGUAUUGGAAUUGGCCUAAUCAAGACCAAAUUAAAUCUGUGUGACAUGAUACCCUUUGGAUUUAUCAUUUAAGAAUGUCAGUGUACUAGUUAGUACACAGUCCGGGUUUUAAUCAUGACCAGAGGGACCUCCUAAGAGCCAAAUUAUCCUAGGUAGAUUUAAAACAGCAUAAUUCUGAGGUUCUGAUGAGAACUGGCAAAAGUUUUCACAAACUCCAUCCAUUUUGAGUGAGCGUGCCCUCCUUGACUCAACACUGAGAAUUCCGAGGUGACUUAACCUGUCAUCAACCAUUGUUGUCCAAAGGUGGGUUUUAAUCCGUUUUAAAGCUGAGAAGCUUCUCUCGCAAGAAGCACUGCUGACUGGUGUAACAAGAGAAAUCUUACAAAGUCGAAACAGCUCAUGGAAGACCUCUUUAUAAGGUUCUAGAAACACAACAAAGUCAUAGAGUAGACGGUCUGUCCCUUCCACUUUUCUCUCUCCUAUCAAGAAGCUGCUUGGUUUGAUGAACCUCAUGUUUUGAGGUCCUCUAAAUCUGACUCAAAGGUCUGAGCAAAGGCAAACAGAGUCUUCUCAUUCAAGAAUGUUGUACUCUUUGGGUUGUGAGACUGGACCCCUUGCAUUAUCUCACAAUUCUUCUUUGAAAAACACCUCUGCAGCUCAGCUGUGAGACUGUCAAGCGCCUGACAAAAGAUUGCUCUUUGGAAGCUCUCACCAUCACUUUGGUCUCUAUUUUUCUGUCCUACAGUGCUCAUCAUCAGUGAGUCGUGAAAUCUUAAGCUUGUUUUAGGCUGUCUUUUGCACACUGUUUGUACACUUAUUUUGCAGUGCUCUGCAAUCUCUUCAACCUCUUUCCAUAGUUCUCCAUAGUAACCCUCACUUCUGUAGUCCUGUAAUGUGUCUGUAAAGGUACCUACUAGAUCCACAGCCCUUGCUAGGUCAAGAGAGCUUGAUUGGAACAUGUCAGAAAGACAUUUGGCAUCACCAAGCACUUUCCAAAAGGUAACCAAAAGCCCUAUGAAAAGUAAAUCUAUCUGAGAAAGAAGGUCCCUUGCCUCCACUGAUCUAUCAACACUAUUUUCAAGUGUGAUAUCCUGUAGCACUCUCAGAACUGCUGGAAGCCUGUCCUUCAGAUUAUGGCAUUCCAUGUAUCUGUGUAGCAAAUGUGAAAGUGCUAGCUAGUUAGCAGUGGUGCGCGCUAGUGGCGUUUCAAUCGGUGACGUCACUUGCUCUGAGACCUUGAAGUAGUGGUUCCCCUUGCUCUGCAAGGGCCGCGGCUUUUGUGGAGUGAUGGAUAACGAUCACGGGGACGCUCUGACGUUCUAUACUGUUACAUUGAUGCUGUUGACCUGGAUCACUGAUUGCUGCGGGUGACUGUUGACGUGUGCAGAGCGUCCCUGGUUCGCACCCAGGUCGGCGCGAGGGGACGGACGUAAAGUCUAUACUGUUACAUCUGCAUGCCCACCUUACAUCCGUAAGUCUCUAUAGUUCCCUGGGCUGAUGCUGUGGAUACAGCUCUUUCUGAACUGCAAGCCACUUGAGAUAAACGUACGAGCCAGAUACAAAGUUAUAAAGCUUCUGCAGGAGAGCAAAAAAGUGAACUGAUUCAGACACUGAUUUUACAGCAUCGAUGCACAUUCAAAUGCACACAAAAUGCACACCUUGCACUGUUUUUAAUCUGUGCAGACACACCCGAAUGCUUUCCGCUCACAAGAUUAUUUCUGCAGUCCAGGCCAUGUUUUUCAAGGCAAUCAAUUAUAAUUUUUGUGAGACCUGCUGCAUCUAAGCUUUCAUCUGACUGAAAAUGUCAAACGCUUUCAUGGAUAGUACCUCACAAAUAAAGACUUAUUUUUUUCUUUAAAUCUUUGGUUUCAUCUGCAAUUACACUAAAAACUUCCCUUUCAUUUACUUCUCUUAUUAUUUCACUUUGUACUAUCUCAGCUAAGCCCUCAAGAACUUUGUUCUGGAUUUGAUGGCUUGUGUACUUAGCAUUGCCACAUGCAUUCAUCCUUUUCUCUAUGAGGGUCAUGCUUUGCUAUUUCUUCUAAGAUUGUCAAAACAUUACCCUUGUUGUGACCUCUCUGCGCUUUAUUUUGAGUGGCAGUUAAUAGGAGCACAUCUGCAAUUGUUUUAAUGUAAGUACAGAUUUCCUCCACUUUCUUUUUCCGGUCCUCAUUUAUGACAUCUAACAUUGAUGAGUUGCUGUCUAUAGCCCUUUUAUGCUGAUUCCAAGCAUACAUAGCGUUGAUAUGAUGCUUUGCCUUCGAAUGGAGCUUAAAACCCAGAAUCUUUAAACAGCGUCUUUUUCCAGUUACAAAAACCUGACUGUGAUGUGAAGGCAGAUUCAGGUGUAUUGAGCAGAGAAACAUGACUGUGAUGUGAAGGCAGAUUCAGGUGUAUUGAACAGAGAAACAUAACUGUGAUGUGAAGGCAGAUUCAGGUGUAUUGGGCAGAGAAAAAUGCCUACAGGCGAAACAACAAGUUGAAUCUUGAUUUACAGAAUAUUCAAGCCAUGAACUGUCCUUAUACCAGGAGCUGUUGACAGCCCUUUUCCUAGUACCAUGCUGAGUUUUGGCAAAUGUUUUCAAACACGGCUGUACAGGACCCUCUUCUCUGGAUCUUGAAAUGU
Long non-coding RNA from Oncorhynchus tshawytscha (Chinook salmon), 2759 nucleotides. NCBI's taxonomy places the organism in Eukaryota, Metazoa, Chordata, Actinopteri, Salmoniformes, Salmonidae. The record is from Ensembl.